RNAcentral lists this ribosomal RNA (468 nucleotides) under uncultured bacterium. RNAcentral describes it as "partial 16S ribosomal RNA". It matches the Rfam family "Bacterial small subunit ribosomal RNA", at positions 28 to 507 of the family's 1533-position model. The record is from RNAcentral.
GACGAACGCUGGCGGCGUGCUUAACACAUGCAAGUCGAACGGAAAGACCCUGCUUUUGUGGGGUGCUCGAGUGGCGAACGGGUGAGUAACACGUGAGUAACCUGCCCUUGACUUUGGGAUAACUUCAGGAAACUGGGGCUAAUACCGGAUAGGAGCUCCUGCUGCAUGGUGGGGGUUGGAAAGUUUCGGCGGUUGGGGAUGGACUCGCGGCUUAUCAGCUUGUUGGUGGGGUAGUGGCUUACCAAGGCUUUGACGGGUAGCCGGCCUGAGAGGGUGACCGGCCACAUUGGGACUGAGAUACGGCCCAGACUCCUACGGGAGGCAGCAGUGGGGAAUAGUGCACAAUGGGCGGAAGCCUGAUGCAGCAAAGCCGCGUGCGGGAUGACGGCCUUCGGGUUGUAAACCGCUUUCGCCUGUGACGAAGCGUGAGUGACGGUAAUGGGUAAAGAAGCACCGGCUAACUACGUG